GACGGCCUUCGGGUUGUAAACUCCUUUCGUUAGGGACGAAGCCACACCUUUUUUUGGGUGUGGUGACGGUACCUUUGUUAAGAAGCACCGGCUAACUACGUGCCAGCAGCCGCGGUAAUACGUAGGGUGCGAGCGUUGUCCGGAAUUACUGGGCGUAAAGAGCUCGUAGGUGGUUUGUUGCGUCGUCUGUGAAAUUCCGGGGCUUAACUUCGGGGUGGCAGGCGAUACGGGCAUAACUAGAGUGCUGUAGGGGAAACUGGAAUUCCUGGUGUAGCGGUGGAAUGCGCAGAUAUCAGGAGGAACACCGAUGGCGAAGGCAGGUCUCUGGGCAGUAACUGACGCUGAGGAGCGAAAGCAUGGGGAGCGAACAGGAUUAGAUACCCUGGUAGUCCAUGCUGUAAACGGUGGGCGUUAGGUGUGGGGACCGGUUUGGUUUCUGUGCCGUAGCUAACGCAUUAAGCGCCCCGCCUGGGGAGUACGGCCGCAAGGCUAAAACUCAAAGGAAUUGACGGGGGCCCGCACAAG
Molecule: ribosomal RNA, 525 nt
Filed under: uncultured bacterium
Lineage: Bacteria
Description: bacterial SSU rRNA
Rfam family: Bacterial small subunit ribosomal RNA
Source: RNAcentral